This 375-nucleotide ribosomal RNA is filed under the name uncultured bacterium. RNAcentral's name for it is "bacterial SSU rRNA". It matches the Rfam family "Bacterial small subunit ribosomal RNA", at positions 524 to 898 of the family's 1533-position model. The record is from RNAcentral.
UACGAAGGGGGCUAGCGUUGCUCGGAAUGACUGGGCGUAAAGGGCGCGUAGGCGGCACACAUAGUCAGGCGUGAAAUUCCUGGGCUUAACCUGGGGGCUGCGUUUGAUACAUGUGAGCUAGAGGAUGGAAGAGGCUCGUGGAAUUCCCAGUGUAGAGGUGAAAUUCGUAGAUAUUGGGAAGAACACCGGUGGCGAAGGCGGCGAGCUGGUCCAUUACUGACGCUGAGGCGCGAAAGCGUGGGGAGCAAACAGGAUUAGAUACCCUGGUAGUCCACGCUGUAAACGAUGUGCGCUGGAUGUUGGGUGACUUAGUCACUCAGUGUCGUAGCUAACGCGAUAAGCGCACCGCCUGGGGAGUACGGCCGCAAGGUUGAA